GAUCCUGGCUCAGGAUGAACGCUAGCGGCAGGCUUAACACAUGCAAGUCGAGGGGCAGCAUAAUGGUAGUAAUACUAUUGAUGGCGACCGGCGGACGGGUGCGUAACGCGUAUGCAACCUACCCUUUACAGGGGGGAUAAACGACUGAGAAAUCGGUACUAAUACCCCAUAAUAUUCUGGGAGGCAUCUUUCGGAGUUGAAAGCUUUGGUGGUAAAGGAUGGGCAUGCGUUGUAUUAGCUAGUUGGUAAGG
Molecule: ribosomal RNA, 251 nt
Filed under: uncultured bacterium
Lineage: Bacteria
Description: partial 16S ribosomal RNA
Rfam family: Bacterial small subunit ribosomal RNA
Source: RNAcentral